This 420-nucleotide ribosomal RNA is filed under the name Streptomyces sp. PC5012. RNAcentral's name for it is "bacterial SSU rRNA". It matches the Rfam family "Bacterial small subunit ribosomal RNA", at positions 91 to 525 of the family's 1533-position model. The record is from RNAcentral. Lineage: Bacteria; Bacillati; Actinomycetota; Actinomycetes; Kitasatosporales; Streptomycetaceae.
AUUAGUGGCGAACGGGUGAGUAACACGUGGGCAAUCUGCCCUGCACUCUGGGACAAGCCCUGGAAACGGGGUCUAAUACCGGAUACGACCUGCCGAGGCAUCUCGGCGGGUGGAAAGCUCCGGCGGUGCAGGAUGAGCCCGCGGCCUAUCAGCUUGUUGGUGGGGUAAUGGCCUACCAAGGCGACGACGGGUAGCCGGCCUGAGAGGGCGACCGGCCACACUGGGACUGAGACACGGCCCAGACUCCUACGGGAGGCAGCAGUGGGGAAUAUUGCACAAUGGGCGAAAGCCUGAUGCAGCGACGCCGCGUGAGGGAUGACGGCCUUCGGGUUGUAAACCUCUUUCAGCAGGGAAGAAGCGAAAGUGACGGUACCUGCAGAAGAAGCGCCGGCUAACUACGUGCCAGCAGCCGCGGUAAUA